AGUGAACGCUGGCGGUAGGCCUAACACAUGCAAGCCGAACGGCAGCACAGGAGAGCUUGCUCUCUAGGUGGCGAGUGGCGGACGGGUGAGGAAUACAUCGGAAUCUGCCCAGUCGUGGGGGAUAACGUAGGGAAACUUACGCUAAUACCGCAUACGACCUUCGGGUGAAAGAGGGGGAUCGCAAGACCUCUCGCGAUUGGAUGAGCCGAUGUCGGAUUAGCUAGUUAGCGGGGUAAUGGCCCACCAAGGCGACGAUCCGUAGCUGGUCUGAUGGGAUGAUCAGCCACACUGGAACUGAGACACGGUCCAGACUCCUACGGGAGGCAGCAGUGGGGAAUAUUGGACAAUGGGCGCAAGCCUGAUCCAGCCAUACCGCGUGGGUGAAGAAGGCCUUCGGGUUGUAAAGCCCUUUUGUUGGGAAAGAAAUCUUUCAGGCUAAUACCCUGGGAGGAUGACGGUACCCAAAGAAUAAGCACCGGCUAACUUCGUG
RNAcentral lists this ribosomal RNA (490 nucleotides) under uncultured bacterium. Its description in RNAcentral is "partial 16S ribosomal RNA". It matches the Rfam family "Bacterial small subunit ribosomal RNA", at positions 29 to 507 of the family's 1533-position model. The record is from RNAcentral.